CAAAAGCCAUCCAAGAAUUUCCAGGCCUUGUUAAUUUUGAGAUAUGGCUUCAAGAACUGUGGCCUACACUGCCCUUCUCCUGUCUCUCAACCUCCUCUUCUUCACAUUGGUGAGCUCUUCCUCUUGCCCACCACCAUCACCAAAACCAAAAGGCCCUUCACCUCAACCGAGUAACCCAUCGCCAAAGCCAAAAACCCCGGCACCAAGCAACCCAUCGCCAAAGCCAAAACUCCCCUCACCUCAACCGAGUAACCCAUCGCCAAAGCCAAAAACCCCGGCACCAAGCAACCCAUCGCCAAAGCCAAAACU
This 309-nucleotide unclassified non-coding RNA is filed under the name Hevea brasiliensis (rubber tree). Lineage: Eukaryota; Viridiplantae; Streptophyta; Magnoliopsida; Malpighiales; Euphorbiaceae. The record is from RNAcentral.